GCUAAUCCACUGAUUAAACAAACAAACUCCCCAUCAUAAUCUACUUCCUUCAAAAAUUAUUAUUAUAAAUCCUCCAAAAGAAAUUUUUUUACACGACCCUUUUUCAGCUCAACGGUUCAGCUGGCUGCGUGGUUGAGCGAGUGUUCGAUUCAAUCUCGGUUAAACACGUCCAAAUCGACUCAGUCUGCGCGAAGAAGUCCUUUGAAUUUAUACCGUUGAAGAUUCGCUCGAACGUGAUAGUGGGCACAGUGAGUUUUUGAGAUUUGCAUUGGCAGGGGUGAAAAAUGGGGAAAAUAGAUGGAAUCUAGGGAUUUGAAGGGGGCCCUUUUUUGAAUUUGGGGAAAAGGGCCCAGAGUUUUGAGGGAGAGGAAGAAAAAUGAAGGAUUUACUGGGUAGCCCUGGAACUGUGUGUGGAUUGAUGUUGAGGAUUGGGCAAUGUUUGUUUGCAGCUGGUUCCAUUGGAGUUAUGGUUUCUGCUGCUGGGUUUUCUAAUUUCACUGCUUAUUGUUACCUUAUUGCAUCAAUGGGGCUUCAAGUGUUAUGGAGCUUUGGACUUGCAUGUCUUGAUAUCUAUGCUUUGCGGAUAAAAAGAGACCUCCGCAAUCCAGUCCUAGUUAGCCUGUUUGUUGUUGGUGAUUGGGUGACAGCUACCUUAUCACUUGCUGCUGCAUGCUCGUCAGCUGGGAUAGCAGUUUUGUAUGCAAAAGACUUAAAAUUUUGUACAGGUCCAACGCAUCUCCCAUGCCACAGAUUUGAACUGGCCAUAGCUAUGGCGUUCGUUACGUGGUUCCUCAUCGCCAUGUCGUCUCAUAUCAUGUUCUGGAUAUUAGCAUCAGUUUAAAAUCUUUUCUUUCAGAUUCAAGUUUUUCUCCCCCAUUUCUCUCCCCAGCAAUUUUCACAGCAUCAUCGCCGGUGAUAAUGCUGAUAACACACUCGAUCUCGUCUGCAACCUCCUUCAUGGAAGGGCGAUUCUGCCGUCGUUCGUCCAAGCAAGCUGCAGCCAGAUUCCCGAUUGCCUUCAUCGUCUCGAGCUCCACCUCCGUCGCCCCUUGCUUGAUCGCUGGAUCGAGCACGGCCAUCAGGUUGUCCUCAUCAAACAUCCUCUUCAUGUAAACCACCAGGUUCACAUUCUCCUCCUCUCUAUUGAAAUCAAUAGCUCUCUUGCAAGUCAGCAGCUCCAGCAGCACGACGCCGAAGCUGUACACGUCGCUCCGAUCCGUGAGCUGCAUGUUCACGUAGUACUCGGGAUCGAGGUACCCGAGCGUCCCCUGAGCUGAGGUGUUGAUGUGGGUGCAGUCCCUCUCGCUUAGCUCGACCAACCUCGACAGCCCAAAAUCCGACACCUUAGCGUCGAGGUUCUCAUCUAGGAGUAUGUUGCUCGUCUUCACGUCCCGGUGGUAGAUGGGGGGCACAGCGGACGAGUGGAGGUAGGCAAGGCCGUCGGCCGCGUGGUGGGCGAUGAAGAGGCGCCUCAGCCAGCCCAGGGGCGGAGUCUGGCGCGCCUCCGCCCUGUGCAGGUGCUCGAAGAGGGUCCCCCUCGCGACGUACUCGUAUAUCAAGAGGGGCUGCUCGAGCUCCACGCAGCAGCCGAUCAUCCUCACCAGGCUCCGAUGGUUGACCUGGCAGAGGAUCCUGACCUCGUUGAGGACCUGGGCCGUGCCCGCGGCGUUCCCCGGCUUCGCCCUCUUCACGGCUAUCUCGGUCCGGUCGUCUAAGGUACCUUUGAAAACCUCCCCGAAUCCGCCGGUGCCGAGCAGGUUCUCUUUAGAGAAGUCGUUGGUUGCUUUCUUGAUCUCUUUGCCUGAGAAAAUCUUGGCUGAUUUGCCGCUGUUGUGAGAAUUUAAGAUAUGCUCUCUUUGCUUGAUUAGUGUCUUUCUUGCCGCGUUCUUUGUGUAUUGACGCUGUCUGUACACGAGGAAUGCGGUCAGAAGCAGGAGAAGGAAUACGCCCGUAGUCGCUGCAGAGAGGAUCCCAGUAGCGCCCCUUCUUGCAGAGGCACCUCCUGCGGCCACCGUCGACGGAAUCGGCCAAGCACUUCGAGAAGGGCAGCUCACGGCAGCCCAACGUAGUGUUGCAGGGCGGCUCCAACGGGGAGACGUACAUGAGCUCCAGCCCGGGCGCCGGCCACUUGGCAAACGGGAGGCUGGGAUCGAAGUUCACGUAGCUGUGGUACGCCAUACAUCCGUCCGCGUGGACACGGAUGAUGUACGCAUUCUGCGAUCCCCCCGUCCGGAACGAGCAGCAGAGCUUCUGCUUAUUGCAGACGCCUGCCGAAGGAGUGUUGUCGAUGUAGGUGUGGCAAGGGCAGUUUGAGGAGCAGUUGAUAGGCACCUGCAGAUGCAACAUGUUGUCGGUGCAGUUGAAGAGGAGUAUGGUGUUGCUGCUGCUGAUGUUGAAGGGGAGCGAGUCGUCGAUUUGGAAGCCCUCGCUGCUGAAGUCCUCGGAGAAGCACGUGCCCGGGAGCACGGACGGGGGGCGGAUCACCAUCCGUUGGGACCUCGUGUCGAUGGAUGUGAUCGGGUAGAGCCUCCCGGGCUUUGAGAUGAAAUGCAGGGUGCCUGUGUUUGGAUCACACUUGAUCUUGUAGGCCUGGUCGCCGCAGCUCGGGCUGAUGCUCAUCGGGUAGGGCACUGGGGUCUUGCCGCACUGCCCGCAGUGCAUGACGGCGGCUGCCAAAGGAGGAAAUAUUAUUGCUAGGAGGAGAAAUGGAGAAGUCACCAUUGGAGCUCAAGUAGAGUAGUAUGUGGUGUGGUUAGUUACUUAGUUAUAUUUUUCAUGGUGAUGGAGGUUUUUGUCUGUUUCAACCUCGUACGGAUCAAGAGGGAUGCGUAGGAAUUUGAUGUUUGGGAUUUUCCAUGCAUUGAUAUGUGCAGAUGAAUUUUAAAGAUAUGAUUUUGGACAGGAGUCUUGAAUGUCAACUUGUAGAAUUCAAAUGUUUAUAGGGCUUCUUAGAAACCAGACAGCGAUUUUUGGGGAAGCUUGUGUGAUCAGAAUGUAAUGAUGAAUAACACUAACAUAGCUCUUUCAUGUGUUGGGCUCACUAUUUUUAUAUCUUUCUUUUUCUUUGGGAUU
Molecule: RNA transcript, 3072 nt
Organism: Salvia miltiorrhiza (redroot sage)
Lineage: Eukaryota; Viridiplantae; Streptophyta; Magnoliopsida; Lamiales; Lamiaceae
Gene name: CASP-like protein 5B2
Exons: 5
Source: RefSeq, a predicted model, not a curated record